UACGUAGGGUGCAAGCGUUGUCCGGAAUUAUUGGGCGUAAAGAGCUUGUAGGUGGUUUGUCGCGUCUGCUGUGAAAAUCCGAGGCUCAACCUCGGACUUGCAGUGGGUACGGGCAGACUAGAGUGUGGUAGGGGAGACUGGAAUUCCUGGUGUAGCGGUGGAAUGCGCAGAUAUCAGGAGGAACACCGAUGGCGAAGGCAGGUCUCUGGGCCAUUACUGACACUGAGAAGCGAAAGCGUGGGGAGCGAACAGG
RNAcentral lists this ribosomal RNA (253 nucleotides) under uncultured bacterium. RNAcentral's name for it is "partial 16S ribosomal RNA". It matches the Rfam family "Bacterial small subunit ribosomal RNA", at positions 524 to 776 of the family's 1533-position model. The record is from RNAcentral.